AUUGAACGCUGGCGGCAUGCUUUACACAUGCAAGUCGAACGGCAGCGCGGGCUUCGGCCUGGCGGCGAGUGGCGAACGGGUGAGUAAUGCAUCGGAACGUGCCCAGUAGUGGGGGAUAGCCCGGCGAAAGCCGGAUUAAUACCGCAUACGACCUGAGGGUGAAAGCGGGGGACCGAAAGGCCUCGCGCUAUUGGAGCGGCCGAUGUCGGAUUAGCUAGUUGGUGGGGUAAAGGCUUACCAAGGCGACGAUCCGUAGCUGGUCUGAGAGGACGACCAGCCACACUGGGACUGAGACACGUCCCAGACUCCUACGGGAGGCAGCAGUGGGGAAUUUUGGACAAUGGGGGCAACCCUGAUCCAGCCAUGCCGCGUGCGGGAAGAAGGCCUUCGGGUUGUAAACCGCUUUUGUUCGGGAAGAAAUCCUCUGGGCUAAUACCCCGGGGGGAUGACGGUACCGGAAGAAUAAGCACCGGCUAACUACGUG
This 484-nucleotide ribosomal RNA is filed under the name uncultured bacterium. RNAcentral's name for it is "partial 16S ribosomal RNA". It matches the Rfam family "Bacterial small subunit ribosomal RNA", at positions 28 to 507 of the family's 1533-position model. The record is from RNAcentral.